This 1489-nucleotide ribosomal RNA is filed under the name uncultured Bordetella sp. RNAcentral describes it as "partial 16S-23S ribosomal RNA intergenic spacer". It matches the Rfam family "Bacterial small subunit ribosomal RNA". The record is from RNAcentral. Lineage: Bacteria; Pseudomonadati; Pseudomonadota; Betaproteobacteria; Burkholderiales; Alcaligenaceae.
UUCGAUCAUGGCUCAGAUUGCAAUCGCUGGCGGGAUGUUUCAUAUGCGUAGCGUCGAACGCACGGACUUCGGUCUGGUGGCGAGUGGCGAACGGGUGAGUAAUGCACGGAACGUGCCUAGAAGGUGGAUACGCGAAAGCGUAGCUAAUACCGCAUACCGCCCUUCGGGGAGCGGGUGGGACCCGCCUCGCACUAUUGGUACUGUCAAAGAUCACGAUUAAAGCGACCAGGCAGGUGCAACGCCGCGCCAGGGAGCUAACAGAACAGAUCCCGCAGCUUUUCAGUCGGUGAGGACGACCAGCCACACUGGGACUGAGACACGGCCCAGACUCCUACGAGGCAGCAGUGGGGAAUUUUGACAAUGGGGAAACCCCUGAUCCAGCCUAUCCUGCCGCGUGCGAUGAAGGCCUUCGGGUUGUAAAAGCACUUUGGCGGUGUGAAAAGAAACGGCACGCACACACCGCAACCCUGACGGCACUCGCAGAAUAAGCACCGGCUAACUACGUGCCAGCAGCCGCGAAUACGUAGGUGCAAGCGUUGACCUGAAUUACUGGGCGGAAGCGCGCGCAGGCGGUUCGAAAGAAAGAUGCGAAAUCCCAGAGCUUAACUGGAAUCCGCAUUUUUAACUACUUGUUAGAGGUCAGAGGGAGGCUGAAUUCGCGCAGCAGCAAGAACAAGUGCGUAGAUAUGCGGAGGAACACCGAUGCACGAAGGCAGCCUCCUGGGAUAACACUGACGCUCGCGCAACGAAAGCGUGGGGAGCAAAACAGGAUAGACACCGGUAGUCCACGCCCUAAACGAUGUCAACUAGCUGUUAAAUUCUCGUGGCCUUGCAGUAGCGCAGCUAACGUGUGAAGGUGAUCCGUCUGGGGAGUACGGUCUCCCAAGAUUAAAACUCAAAAUGGAAUUGACGGGGACCCGCACAAGCGGUGGAUGACGUGGAUUAAUCGACGCAACGCGAAAAUUCGCCUACCUUUGAUGGUCUGGAAUCCCGAAGAGAUUUGGGAGUGCUCGCAAGAGAACCGGAACACAGGUGCUGCAUGCUGUCGCCAGCUCGUGUCGUGAGCGACGCCAGGUUGGAGUCCCGCAACGAGCGCAACCUGUCAUUAGUUGCUACGAAAGUUCCGGGCACUCUAAUGAGACUGCCGGUGACAAAUCCCGAGGAAGGUGGGGAUGACGUCAAGUCCUCAAGGGCCCUUGCGGGUAGCCUGAAGACGCCAAUGGUCGGGACAGAGUGGUCGCUAACCCGCGAGGGGGAGCAUCCCGAAACCCGAUCGUAGUCCGGAUCGCAGUCUGCAACUCGACUGCGUGAAGUCGGAAUCUGCUAAAGGAUCCCGGAUCAGCAUGUCGCGCACAUGUCCCUGGGUCUUGCAUACACCACCGCCUGUCACACCAGCACAUGGGAGUGGGUUUUACCAGAAGUAGUUAGCCUAACCGGGUGAGGGCGAUUAACACGGUAGGAUUCAUGACUGGGGUGAAGUCGUAAACAA